GAUGAACGCUAGCGAUAGGCUUAACACAUGCAAGUCGAGGGGCAGCAUGGUCUUAGCUUGCUAAGACUGAUGGCGACCGGCGCACGGGUGCGUAACGCGUAUGCAACUUGCCUCACAGAGGGGGAUAACCCGUCGAAAGACGGACUAAUACCGCGUACACUCUAUUUUGGGCAUCCAAGGUAGAGGAAAUGAAAUUCGCUGUGAGAUAGGCAUGCGUCCCAUUAGCUAGUUGGUGAGGUAACGGCUCACCAAGGCGACGAUGGGUAGGGGAACUGAGAGGUUGAACCCCCACACUGGUACUGAGACACGGACCAGACUCCUACGGGAGGCAGCAGUGAGGAAUAUUGGUCAAUGGGCGAGGGCCUGAACCAGCCAAGUCGCGUGAAGGAUGACUGUCUUAUGGAUUGUAAACUUCUUUUGUAGGGGAAUAAAGAGGGGCACGUGUGCCCCAGUGAAUGUACCCUACGAAUAAGCAUCGGCGAACUCCGU
RNAcentral lists this ribosomal RNA (489 nucleotides) under uncultured bacterium. Its description in RNAcentral is "partial 16S ribosomal RNA". It matches the Rfam family "Bacterial small subunit ribosomal RNA", at positions 28 to 506 of the family's 1533-position model. The record is from RNAcentral.